Molecule: ribosomal RNA, 492 nt
Filed under: uncultured bacterium
Lineage: Bacteria
Description: partial 16S ribosomal RNA
Rfam family: Bacterial small subunit ribosomal RNA
Source: RNAcentral
AGUGAACGCUGGCGGUAGGCCUAACACAUGCAAGUCGAACGGCAGCACAGUAAGAGCUUGCUCUUACGGGUGGCGAGUGGCGGACGGGUGAGGAAUACAUCGGAAUCUACUUUUUCGUGGGGGAUAACGUAGGGAAACUUACGCUAAUACCGCAUACGACCUACGGGUGAAAGCAGGGGAUCUUCGGACCUUGCGCGAUUGAAUGAGCCGAUGUCGGAUUAGCUAGUUGGCGGGGUAAAGGCCCACCAAGGCGACGAUCCGUAGCUGGUCUGAGAGGAUGAUCAGCCACACUGGAACUGAGACACGGUACAGACUCCUACGGGAGGCAGCAGUGGGGAAUAUUGGACAAUGGGCGCAAGCCUGAUCCAGCCAUACCGCGUGAGUGAAGAAGGCCUUCGGGUGGUAAAGCCCUUUUGUUGGGAGAGAAAAGCAGCAGGUUAAUACCCCGCUGUUAUGACGGUACCCAAAGAAUAAGCACCGGCUAACUUCGUG